This 446-nucleotide long non-coding RNA is filed under the name Gallus gallus (chicken). Its description in RNAcentral is "lncRNA (ENSGALG00010009745.1)". The record is from RNAcentral. Lineage: Eukaryota; Metazoa; Chordata; Aves; Galliformes; Phasianidae.
GGGGUCACCAGGUGUCACCAUGGGAUCACCAGGAGUCACCACGGGAUCACCAGGAGUCACCAUGGGGUCACCAGGAGUCACCAUGGGAUCACCAGGGGUCAUCAUGACAGCACCAGGAGGUCACCAGGGGAUCACCAGGAGUCACCAUGGGAUCACCAGGAAUCACCAUGGGAUCACCAGGAUCUCACUAUGGGAUCACCAGGAGUCACCAUGGCAGCACUGGGAGUCACCAUGGCAGCACCAUAAGGUCACCAUGGGAUCACCAGGAUCUCAUUCACCAUGGGAUCACCAUCAUCUCACCAUGGGAUCACUAGGAUGUCACCAUGGGAUCACCAGGAGUCACCAUGGCAGCACUGGGAGUCACCAGGGGGUCACCAGGAGUCACCAUGGGAUCACCAGGAUGUCACCAUGGGAUCACCAGGAUGUCACUAUGGGAUCACCAGGAU